This is a long non-coding RNA of Harmonia axyridis, 410 nucleotides long. RefSeq lists it as uncharacterized. The transcript has 3 exons. The record is from RefSeq and is a predicted model, not a curated record. Lineage: Eukaryota; Metazoa; Arthropoda; Insecta; Coleoptera; Coccinellidae.
UUGAAGUAUUCUUUACCGCUUUUCAGUGAUAUCAGUUUUCUCUAUGACACAAUUUCAAAAUGACAAUCAUGAAGGUGCAUUAUCAAAUCCUUUUCACACUUUGUGAACUCCAUUUUCAAACCCUUGAAGAGUAAAUGCAAUCUAUUUCAAUACCCACUACAAUGUGAAAGAGUACCUAUUAAUAAAGGCUGAGUUGAGUAAUCAAAUUCAAAAUGCGGAGACCUUUCACGCUGUCAUCUAUCAGAGGAUGUCUAUAACAUUGGAUAUUGGGACAGAACACUGCUCGCACAUGAAUCACUGGAGGAUGAAGAAGAAUCCAUUUUGACACUAUUGUUCGAGAGAAGGCGCCGACAAGUAACCAAUGCAACAAAUUUUGUACUGAGCUUCAAAACUUUUAGUACCUGCAUUUA